GAUGAACGCUGGCGGCGUGCCUAAUACAUGCAAGUCGAACGGAGAUUGUAGCAAUACGGUCUUAGUGGCGAACGGGUGAGUAACGCGUUGGUGACCUGCCCCGAAGUGUGGGAUAACAGCCCGAAAGGGUUGCUAAUACCGCAUGUGGUUUUUCGGAUUAGAUGCCGAAUUUCUAAAGGAGAAAUUCGCUUCGGGAGGGGCCUGCGUCCCAUCAGCUAGUUGGUAGGGUAAAAGCCUACCAAGGCGAUGACGGGUAGGGGACCUGAGAGGGUGGCCCCCCACAAUGGAACUGAAACACGGUCCAUACACCUACGGGUGGCAGCAGUAGGGAAUAUUGGUUAAUGGGCGAAAGCCUGAACCAGCAACGCCGCGUGUGCGAUGACGGCCUUCGGGUUGUAAAGCACUUUUUGAGGGGAUGAGGAAGGACAGUACCCUCAGAAUAAGUCUCGGCUAACUACGUGCCAGCAGCCGCGGUAACACGUAGGAGACUAGCGUUAUUCGGAUUUAUUGGGCGUAAAGCGCGUGCAGGCGGUUCGGUAAGUUGGAUGUGAAAGCUCCUGGCUUAACUGGGGGAGGUCGUUCAAUACUACCGUACUUGAGAGUGGUAGAGGGAGUUGGAAUUCCGGGUGUAGUGGUAAAAUGCGUAGAUAUCCGGAAGAACACCAGUGGCGAAAGCGGACUCCUGGACCAUUUCUGACGCUCAGACGCGAAAGCUAGGGGAGCGAACGGGAUUAGAGACCCCGGUAGUCCUAGCUGUAAACGAUGUAGACUUGGCGUUGGAGGGGUUAAAUCCUUCAGUGCCGAAGCAAACGCGAUAAGUCUACCGCCUGGGGACUACGGCCGCAAGGUUAA
Molecule: ribosomal RNA, 852 nt
Filed under: uncultured bacterium
Lineage: Bacteria
Description: bacterial SSU rRNA
Rfam family: Bacterial small subunit ribosomal RNA
Source: RNAcentral